This 790-nucleotide ribosomal RNA is filed under the name uncultured Alphaproteobacteria bacterium. RNAcentral's name for it is "bacterial SSU rRNA". It matches the Rfam family "Bacterial small subunit ribosomal RNA", at positions 36 to 874 of the family's 1533-position model. The record is from RNAcentral. Lineage: Bacteria; Pseudomonadati; Pseudomonadota; Alphaproteobacteria.
CUGGCGGCAUGCCUAAGACAUGCAAGUCGAACGAAGUCUUCGGACUUAGUGGCGCACGGGUGAGUAACAUGUGGGAAUCUACCUAAAGGUUCGGAAUAACUGCGGGAAACUGUAGCUAAUACCGGAUGUGUCCGUAAGGAGAAAGAUUUAUUGCCUUUAGAUGAGCCCGCACUAGAUUAGCUUGUUGGUGAGGUAACUGCUCCACCAAGGCUACGAUCUAUAGCUGAUUUGAGAGGAUGAUCAGCCACACUGGGACUGAGACACGGCCCAGACUCCUACGGGAGGCAGCAGUCGGGAAUAUUGGACAAUGGGGGAAACCCUGAUCCAGCAAUGCCGCGUGAGUGAAGAAGGCCCUCGGGUUGUAAAACUCUUUCAUCAAUGAAGAUAAUGACAUUAAUUGAAGAAGAAGCUCCGGCUAACUCCGUGCCAGCAGCCGCGGUAAUACGGAGGGGGCUAGCGUUGUUCGGAAUUACUGGGCGUAAAGCGUAUGUAGGCGGAUCAAAAAGUUAGAUGUGAAAUCCCUGGGCUUAACCUAGGAACUGCAUUUAAAACUAGUGAUCUAGAAUUUGGUAGGGGUUAGUAGAAUUUCCAGUGUAGAGGUGAAAUUCGUAGAUAUUGGAAAGAAUACCAGUGGCGAAGGCGACUAACUGGGCCAUUUUUGACGCUGAGAUACGAAAGCGUGGGUAGCAAACAGGAUUAGAUACCCUGGUAGUCCACGCAGUAAACGAUGAGUGCUAGUCGCUGGGUCAAUAGAUUCAGUGUCGAAGCUAACGCAUUAAGCACUCCGCCU